Molecule: long non-coding RNA, 3709 nt
Organism: Oryzias javanicus (javanese ricefish)
Lineage: Eukaryota; Metazoa; Chordata; Actinopteri; Beloniformes; Adrianichthyidae
Source: Ensembl
GCCAUGCUGUUUUUGGUGGACCUAUUUUGUGUUUUCAAAAAUGUGAUAAAUGGCUUAUUUGAGCCAGUUCAACACAGUAUCUGCUUCUCUUGUUUCCACUUCUGCAGAAUAUGUGGAAGGGAUCCUAAUUUCAUCAUCCUGGAAGUAGAAAGCACUGAAGAUCUGUGUCUCACACCACAGACAGGUGCUGUGUGUAGCAAGAGCAGCACAGAGAAAGGAAGCUCUGCGGAGAAGGCGGUGUGGCAGCAGGCCUCUCCGGCUGUGGAUGUGCUGGGUGGUAACCCCCAGGCUGCGCAGAAUGUGGCUGGGGAGUCACCUCGGCAUGCCCCGCAGCCGGUCGCAGCUGCCCCCUGCCCGAUCCCUCCAUCUGCAAAUCCAUCCAGCAUGUCGCUGUCGGACGGCAACAGCUCAGUAUUCCCUGGCAUGGACCCUUCAGCAGCCUUUUCUGAGACUCUCCCAAGCAGGAAUUCUAAGGACGUCACCUCAGAAGAAGUGUGCACUGAGGAGAGCAUUGUUGGAAUUGCUAAGUCAUUGCCAGUGUCCUUCAGUCAGGACAGUAGUUCCUUUGCUAAGAUGCAAAGGCUCUCAAAUCUUCCUUGUCCCCCACUUGCAGCACGAAUUGACGGCUCAGUGCAAGAGCUUCAGGACGGGCUACAAAGUGGUAAAGAGGAAAGCCUCCCAGAUAGUCAAACAGACCAGAUUCAGCCUCAUCAAGAAAAUACGGGGCUUGUGGUUACUUUGGGGAUCCAGGAAGAACAAUCUAUCGCUUUGGACUACAAUCCCGACUCUGAAACAAAAGGGGAUGUUGGUAGACAAGAGCUCACCGAUAAAAGUGUCCUCUUACAACCCCAAAUUCAUUGCACAGUUUCAUCUUCCCCCACCCCUCCGUCAAGUGUUGGUUUCACAGUUCAAAACCCCACAAACUUUGGGGUUGUGGUGCAGUCAGACAGGGAAACAAUCGUCCUUCAGGGCAUCCACAAAACUCCAUCAGAUACUGCAGAACCAAGAGGUAGUUUCAAGGACUCGAAUGCCUCAGCCUCUUUGCCCUCAGCGGAAAAUGCAGAGGACAAACAAACGAACCUUUCAAAAACAAAACCUAAAACCAUCAGGGAGAUCCCAAACGACGACAGCAAUACGCAAACGGAAAAUUCUUCAGAAUCAAUCGAGGCCUUCAAACACACAAAAGUGGUUGCUGUCACCUCUGUCAAAGAAACACAACCUCAUUCACCUGAAAUACUUGAGACCCCAAAGGCUAAAGAAUCACAGCACGGAUUAGAUUCCUCCCUCGGAGACCAGAGUUCCGUGCCCACCAGUAAUCCCCCUGUAACAGAGCAGGGUGAUGGGGGUGUGAGGGAAGUCCAAACUGAUGCUGCUGCCCCUUCAGUGCUGCCAGAGUUUUCCUCCAAACCUCCUGCAGGGGCUCCCCUGUUCGACACCGACUUGGUUGUCUCACUACAUACAGGGGAGGUCAUCAAGACAGACAUUUCCCAUACCUCUGAUCCAGUCCCUUCCCACGAAACCUCACUGAUUGCUGAGAUUGUUCACUCUGCCAACGCCCAGGAAAUCGUGGUCGUCCGAGAGGGGGCUCAUAUCAGUGGCGACUGGUCAAACAUGCACCUAAAUCAGAGUUACCUGCUGCAACGAGAAGAUGGCACUGUGUGCGAAGCUGCCAUCGUUAACGAACUCUCUCCCGGAGGAGCGAAACUGUAUGAAGACAGUGUUCAGGCGGGCUUGGAACUGGACUCUCAGCCCGUGGAAGUGUAUGAGUUCUGUGGUCUGGUGGAGGAGGUUGCCGAGGAGACGAUAUGUGGCAGCAGUGGCACACAGAUACCUCACUCUCCAGGAUAUGAAGUAAACUUAUUCAAUGCAUUACUGGAAAAUUCUGACGAGUACACCAUCAAAGAGGACAUCGAACCUGCUAUUCACUCAGCUACUGAAAGUGAAACCAUCAUCAUUUCCCAGCAACCUUUGCCUUCUUCAAGUGAGCACGAUUCCCACAGUCUGUCCAUACAAAAAGCAAGGGUAGCUGCAGUCGGGUCGCAUUUGAUAUUAGAUAAUCAAACAGUCGAAGUGUCUCACUCAGGUGAGGUUUGUUUACUUCAAGUAGCUGCAGUUGCUUCAGAGUCUUUCACUGUUCAGCAGGCAGACACAAGUACACAAUUUGGCAUGCACUGCUUACAAGCUAAUGCUACAGAGUCAGACGUAAAAGAAGCACAUGGAUUAGAUUCUCCUAAACCAAAAGCAGAGACAGCAACAUGCUCUUUAGGAACCUCCUCCCCGGUGGUUGAAAUUAGUGGGGGAAACACAGUUUCAGUACAUAUUUCUUGUUUAGAAAACCAGCCUUGUCUUUCCGCUCAUGAAGGGACCAAAGAAACUCCUGCUUUGACUCCAUCACAGAAUAUUCACGCUGUGGUUUUGCCCUCUGAAACUAAACCUGACGGACUCUCCUCCACACAUUACUCUAGCGUCAAUCCAAAGCUGCUCCUUCAGGAGUCAGAAGAAACUCCCCUCCUGAAACAACCGAAUGCGGACGCCACGUUGACAAACUCCCACGGUUCUUGGUCUGCCGCUGAAGGGUGCCUUUCUGCAGAUGUCACAAAAGACUCCUUAUCUCCAUCUGUGGCUCCAAGCAGCCGGGAAGAUCAAACCCAGCGCUCUGAAGAGGAAAAAUCAGCAGCUCCUGUUGAAGCUCAGCAGUGUAGUGUUAGUGCUAGCACACCUCAGACUGAAUCUGACUCUGCAACAGCUUCAACAAACAAACCCGAGGCCUUAACUUCUACCAAAACAUCAACAGACAAAGCAGAUCCGUCUUCUGAAAAUGUUGAAACCCCCACGGACACCACUACACUUGUUUUACCUGAAUCCAUUCGCAUGCUCACAGCACCAGAGGAAAGUGAAUGUGAAGUUGCAAUGGCUACCAGUCCCAGCAAUCCCCUGACAGGCGUCCCAGACUACGAGGAUGACGACAGCGAGGACAUGGAGCAGGACAAACCAGCGGGAGAAACGGAAGUCCAAGAGAGCUUGUCAGGUCAGGUUAGCAGUCAAGAAGAAGACAGUGAUGAGGAAGCAGACGAAAGUGAGAUGACCUCUUCCAGCUCAUCACACAAGGUGCGUCAGUGGAUCUCAGAAAGAGUCUCUGCCAACUCGUCUCCCGUCUCCUCCUCAACUUCAUCUUCCUUCCUCGGGCCUUCAUCCAGCACAGACUGGACAACACCUCGACGAGAUAAGUUGUCGCCUCUCAGAGGUCCCCACGGCAAGUUUGUCUCCCCUUCCUCGGGUGGGUGCUCCGCCUCCUCCCCAACAGACCAGGCCUCCUCUCAGAGGUCCCGUGGAGAGAGACUCACUGACAUGGCAGAACUUGCUAAACAUGUAAGUGAGAGUCGUUUGCUCACAUUUACAAACACAAAAAAACAUCUAAAGGAAUACUGCUAUGACAUUUAUAAACUUGAUUUAAUGCACAUUGACAACCUUUUUUCACCACCACGGUUCCAGUUCCUAACCUCUAACCCGUUAAUUCAAGCUCAACCACCAACAUUUUGUAAAACUGAUUUUAGACGAGCCUUUUUUAACUUUUGGUUCAGAGUAAGAAAAUACAGAACCAGUGACAGUGCAUUCAUAAUGAAAGCAGCUGUGUGCUGCACUGCAGGGGCCGAGUAAAGCAAUCUGAUGUACAAUUAGUGAACUCUAUCUAAAAAUCUGUUUGUUUCCU